RNAcentral lists this ribosomal RNA (594 nucleotides) under Triticum aestivum (bread wheat). Its description in RNAcentral is "partial small subunit ribosomal RNA". Lineage: Eukaryota; Viridiplantae; Streptophyta; Magnoliopsida; Poales; Poaceae. The record is from RNAcentral.
AUGCCGCACGUACCUGAUGAUAGAUUAUGUAGGGUCAACGAUAAGCCCCUGUCCGUCGCUUAUGCAUAUGAAUCUGCUUUCUCAUCUAGACCGGAGGAUCUGUUCGCAGAUUUUAUCUGGGGGAAGAACUAUGCGACUAACCGCUGCAGGUUGUUUAUCUGGCUUGCGCACCGUGGGAGACUGUUCACCAACAAGCGUCGAUUCCGGCGGAACUUGACAGACUCUGACUCAUGCCCAUUCUGCACGUCAACUGAAUCAACGGCCCACAUGCUUCUCCACUGCUCUACUACUGUUGACGUCUGGUCGGCGGUCGACUCUCUUAACAUCAACCCUGCCGACUGUGCCUCCAUCGAAGAAUUGUCGGGGCUACAACCUCCUUGCAAGAUUCGCAACAUGGUUAUUAUGGCUAUUCUCUGGAGUCUAUGGCAAAGAAGAAAUGCUAAAGUCUUCAGAAGCGAGGAUGAAUCCAUAGGACUUGUCCUUCGACGUGCAGCUCAAGACAUUUUUCUUUUGUCCAGUAGAUGUGUAAACGCUGCUUGAAAGCAAAUUCUGCUUGAUUGGGGGAUCAUGUUGUCCCGGCUAGAUGUAGCAUAG